Molecule: ribosomal RNA, 148 nt
Filed under: Anaerobutyricum hallii
Lineage: Bacteria; Bacillati; Bacillota; Clostridia; Lachnospirales; Lachnospiraceae
Description: [Eubacterium] hallii partial 16S ribosomal RNA
Rfam family: Bacterial small subunit ribosomal RNA
Source: RNAcentral
UUUUAUUUGAGAGUUUGAUCCUGGCUCAGGAUGAACGCUGGCGGCGUGCCUAACACAUGCAAGUCGAACGAAGCACCUUUUGAGAUUCUUCGGAUGAUCGAUCGGUGACUGAGUGGCGGACGGGUGAGUAACGCGUGGGUAACCUGCC